Molecule: ribosomal RNA, 464 nt
Filed under: Vreelandella stevensii
Lineage: Bacteria; Pseudomonadati; Pseudomonadota; Gammaproteobacteria; Oceanospirillales; Halomonadaceae
Description: partial 16S ribosomal RNA
Rfam family: Bacterial small subunit ribosomal RNA
Source: RNAcentral
CUACGGGAGUCAGCAGUGGGGAAUAUUGGACAAUGGGCGAAAGCCUGAUCCAGCCAUGCCGCGUGUGUGAAGAAGGCCUUCGGGUUGUGAAGCACUUUCAGUGGGGAAGAAAGCCUUGGGGCUAAUACCCUCGAGGAAGGACAUCACCCACAGAAGAAGCACCGGCUAACUCCGUGCCAGCAGCCGCGGUAAUACGGAGGGUGCGAGCGUUAAUCGGAAUUACUGGGCGUAAAGCGCGCGUAGGCGGUCUGAUAAGCCGGUUGUGAAAGCCCCGGGCUCAACCUGGGAACGGCAUCCGGAACUGUCAGGCUAGAGUGCAGGAGAGGAAGGUAGAAUUCCCGGUGUAGCGGUGAAAUGCGUAGAGAUCGGGAGGAAUACCAGUGGCGAAGGCGGCCUUCUGGACUGACACUGACGCUGAGGUGCGAAAGCGUGGGUAGCAAACAGGAUUAGAUACCCUAGUAGUC